UGCAUAAUGAACGAAUUUGCUGAAAGAUCCAAGCAAAGUCCCAUGAACUUAAAGCAAUUUUAAACAAAAGACCUGCACAUUUAUUUUACCACAAGUUGCACUGUCCAUAAGUUAUGAGCUACACACAAACCAGUUUACAAGCAAAGCAAAACUUCCAAUUUUUGCAAAUUCCUUCACAGACCCUACAGUUCGUGUCCUACCUUCUCUCCAGAAAGCCAUGCACAGAGUAAAAUUCAAAUUCAGACAGAAUCAGAGACAAUCAGCAUUUAAAAAAAAAUCUGAUUUCAAUUUUAAAUAAAAAAAAAAAUCUUUUUACCUGUGCUAAAAACCGAUCACACAUGAUGCCUGUCCCAAAAAACAAGAAUAAACACAAAAAAAAGAUAAUGAAUAUACAUCUGUUGCACAAUUUUGCAGAAUUUUGAUGUCCUUGUGAAGAAAGCCAAAAAAGCCAUUUCAGUUCCACUUCACUUGGGGAAAAAAAUAAGUGUAUAAAAACACGCAGUAGUAAAAAGAGAUUCGAAGAGGACUGCCUCUGGGUGUGGCUCUCUGUCGUACUAUCAGUUGCUGAGCUGUGAUUGGAGAACACAGUCAAUGUCGUCGGUACCGCGGUAAAAAGCCCCGAGAGCUCCAGCAAACACAGCUCUGAGCCCCAUGAGAGCAGCAGCGAUGAUGACUGACAGAGUCGUCCUUCUCCUCAUCCCUCACAUGCUUGUGCUCUUGCUGUCUGCCGCAGUAGAAGCAGCAGAUCUUCACCAUGACACACCCACAGUGACCAAACCUGAAGGCAAAACAAUAUUUUUCAGCUGCAGGGGAACCAGUGGCUGUCAAGACUACCUCCACUUGUACCAACAGAAAGACGGAAAAGAACUCAAGCGGGUUCUUUAUGUGAGUCUCUCCGGAGACAACGCAGUUAAGGACCCUGGAUUUCAAGACUUUGAUAUCGAAAAGCCUCAACCCGACACUUUCAAAGUGAAAAUACGUGCACUCGACAAGAAGCAUUCCGCCACCUACUUCUGCGCCUGUUGGGUUUACCACGGUGAUGUAGACCCCACUCACCACCUGGAAAAAACUUGCAGUAACACAGCAGACAAGUCUCACUGAGGCCAAACAAAUUCAACACACUUCAAAAGUUUAAAAUUAACUUUAUAAUCAGACCAAAACCACAACAAGCAUGAUGUCAAAAGCCACCUGAUGUAAUGUAACUGAAAACGAGUUAAAUAUUUCAGUCCUAUAGGGGGUGUGGUAGUGCAGCAGGUUUCGCUGGGGCCCCCUGUGUGGUGGGUCUGGGGUUCGAGUCCUGCUUGGAGUGCCUUGUGGUGGACUGGCGUUCCAUCUGGGGUGUGUCGCCUUGCUCCCCGUGUUGCUGGGUUAGGCUCUGGUUUGCUGUGACCCCCUCUGAACAAGUAGUUGUUGACAUUGUGUGUGUAUGUGUGUUUCAGUCCUGAUUCAAAGAAUUUUAUUGCACAUGACAAAAAUAUUACAAAAUACCACCAAUUUGACUAUUAAUUUUAUUUAAACACAUAUGUUUAAAUUGCGGGGGUGCGGUGGCGCAGUGGGUUGGACCACGGUCCUGCUUUCCGGUGGGUCUGGGGUUCGAGUCCCGCUUGGGGUGCCUUGCGACGGACUGGCGUCCCGUCCUGGGUGUGUCCCCUCCCCCUCCGGCCUUACGCCCUGUGUUGCCGGGUAGGCUCCGGUUCCCCGUGACCCCGUAUGGGAUAAGCGGUUCUGAAAAUGUGUGUGUGUGUGUGUGUGUUUAAAUUGCAAAAGUUGGUCUCGGAGAUGUACAUCACUUUGGAGAAAAGUGUAUGGUAAAUGAAUACAGCUGAAUGUUAAAAAGGGAAAAAAAUGACAAAUUGAAGUAUUUCUUACACUCUUCGGUAGACAGUGUUGACUAUUCCAAUUCAACUAGCUAAAGAAAAGGGUUGGUGUUGCAUUCAUUAUUUGAGGUGAUAAUGUCUGUCUCUCUCUCUCUCUCUCUCUCUCUCACACUCACACACACACACACACACACACACACACACACAAACACACACACACACACGUAACUUCCUCUUCAAACAUAAAGUCACCCUCACAGACUGCAAUGGGAGCAGAAGGUCGCAGCGGCAACCCGUCGCCACAGAUAUGGGUCUGCGCUCUCUUUUUAUCAUCUGCUCCUUUCACCUCGGUAAGAAGAUCGGACCCACGAAAGGGUUUUUCCAGAAGUUCACACAAUUGUAAUAAAUGAUACCAAUUAAUAGCA
This is a long non-coding RNA of Scleropages formosus (Asian bonytongue), 2242 nucleotides long. Lineage: Eukaryota; Metazoa; Chordata; Actinopteri; Osteoglossiformes; Osteoglossidae. The record is from Ensembl.